GACUUAAGCAUAUCAAUAAGCGGAGGAAAAGAAACCAACAGGGAUUGCCCUAGUAACGGCGAGUGAAGCGGCAACAGCUCAAAUUUGAAAUCUGGCCUCUUUGGGGUCCGAGUUGUAAUUUGCAGAGGGCGCUUUGGCGUUGGCAGCGGUCCAAGUUCCUUGGAACAGGACGUCACAGAGGGUGAGAAUCCCGUACGUGGUCGCUGGCCUUCGCCGUGUAAAGCCCCUUCGACGAGUCGAGUUGUUUGGGAAUGCAGCUCUAAAUGGGAGGUAAAUUUCUUCUAAAGCUAAAUACUGGCCAGAGACCGAUAGCGCACAAGUAGAGUGAUCGAAAGAUGAAAAGCACUUUGGAAAGAGAGUUAAAAAGCACGUGAAAUUGUUGAAAGGGAAGCGCUUGCAGCCAGACUUGCCUGUAGUUGCUCAUCUGGGUUUUUACCCAGUGCACUCUUCUGCGGGCAGGCCAGCAUCAGUUUGGGCGGUUGGAUAAAGGUCUCUGUCAUGUACCUCUCUUCGGGGAGGCCUUAUAGGGGAGACGUCAUGCAACCAGCCUGGACUGAGGUCCGCGCAUCUGCUAGGAUGCUGGCGUAAUGGCUGUAAGCGGCCCGUCUUGAAACACGGACCAAGGAGUCUAACAUCUAUGCGAGUGUUUGGGUGUCAAGCCCGAGCGCGUAAUGAAAGUGAACGGAGGUGGGAACCUUUCGGGGUGCACCAUCGACCGAUCCUGAUGUCUUCGGAUGGAUUUGAGUAAGAGCAUAGCUGUUGGGACCCGAAAGAUGGUGAACUAUGCUUGAAUAGGGUGAAGCCAGAGGAAACUCUGGUGGAGGCUCGCAGCGGUUCUGACGUGCAAAUCGAUCGUCAAAUUUGGGCAUAGGGGCGAAAGACUAAUCGAACUAUCUAGUAGCUGGUUCCUGCCG
RNAcentral lists this ribosomal RNA (914 nucleotides) under Neoscirrhia osmundae. RNAcentral describes it as "partial large subunit ribosomal RNA". It matches the Rfam family "Eukaryotic large subunit ribosomal RNA", at positions 31 to 963 of the family's 3401-position model. The record is from RNAcentral. Lineage: Eukaryota; Fungi; Ascomycota; Dothideomycetes; Pleosporales.